CAGCACCUCAAGUGGUCAGGAUGAUUAUUGGGCCUAAAGCAUCCGUAGCCGGCUCUAUAAGUUUUCGGUUAAAUCUGUACGCUCAACGUACAGGCUGCCGGGAAUACUGCAGAGCUAGGGAGUGGGAGAGGUAGACGGUACUCGGUAGGAAGGGGUAAAAUCCUUUGAUCUAUUGAUGACCACCUGUGGCGAAGGCGGUCUACCAGAACACGUCCGACGGUGAGGGAUGAAAGCUGGGGGAGCAAACCGGAUUAGAUACCCGAGUAGUCC
This 270-nucleotide ribosomal RNA is filed under the name uncultured archaeon. RNAcentral's name for it is "partial 16S ribosomal RNA". It matches the Rfam family "Archaeal small subunit ribosomal RNA", at positions 477 to 747 of the family's 1478-position model. The record is from RNAcentral.